CCUUGUACACACCGCCCGUCACACCAUUGGGAGUUGGUUUUACCUGAAGACGGUGCGCUAACCGCAAGGGGGCAGCCGGCCACGGUAGGAUCAGCGACUGGGGUG
RNAcentral lists this ribosomal RNA (105 nucleotides) under uncultured bacterium. RNAcentral describes it as "partial 16S ribosomal RNA". It matches the Rfam family "Bacterial small subunit ribosomal RNA", at positions 1379 to 1482 of the family's 1533-position model. The record is from RNAcentral.